GAUGAACGCUGGCGGCGUGCUUAAUACAUGCAAGUCGAGCGAACAGACGAGGAGCUUGCCUCUCUGAUGUUAGCGGCGGACGUGUGAGUAACACGUGGAUCCCCUACUUAUAAGUAUGGGAUCACAUCGGGAAACAGGAGCUCAUAUCGGCUGAGAUAGUGAACCGCAUGGUUAAAUAGUAAAUGUCGGUUUUGGUGUCUCUUAUAGAUGGUUCCGCGCGGCAUUAGCUAGUUGGUAAGGUAACGGCUUACCAAGGCAACGAUGCGUAGCCGACCUGAGAGGGUGAUCGGCCACACUGGAACUGAGACACGGUCCAGACUCCUACGGGAGGCAGCAGUGGGGAAUCUUCGGCAAUGGGCGAAAGCCUGACGGAGCAACGCCGCGUGAGUGAUGAAGGCCUUCGGGUCGUAAAACGCUGUUAGUAGGGAAGAACAGGUGUGUAAUAAACUAUGCACGUAUUGACGGUACCUGAUCAAAAAGCCACGGCUAACUACGUG
Molecule: ribosomal RNA, 497 nt
Filed under: uncultured bacterium
Lineage: Bacteria
Description: partial 16S ribosomal RNA
Rfam family: Bacterial small subunit ribosomal RNA
Source: RNAcentral